GUGCCAGCGCCGGGUAAUACGUAGGUGGCGAGCGUUGUCCGGAAUUAUUGGGCGUAAAGGGUGCGUAGGCGGUUUUCUAAGUGAGAUGUGAAAUCCACGGGCUUAACCUGUGAAUUGCAUUUCAAACUGGAAGACUUGAGUGCAGGAGAGGAAAGCGGAAUUCCCAGUGUAGUAGUUACAUGCGUAGAUAGUGGGAGGAACACCAGUGGCGAAGGCGGCUUUCUGGACUG
Molecule: ribosomal RNA, 230 nt
Filed under: uncultured bacterium
Lineage: Bacteria
Description: partial 16S rRNA
Rfam family: Bacterial small subunit ribosomal RNA
Source: RNAcentral